RNAcentral lists this ribosomal RNA (460 nucleotides) under uncultured bacterium. RNAcentral's name for it is "partial 16S ribosomal RNA". It matches the Rfam family "Bacterial small subunit ribosomal RNA", at positions 338 to 795 of the family's 1533-position model. The record is from RNAcentral.
CCUACGGGUGGCAGCAGUGAGGAAUAUUGGUCAAUGGGCGCGAGCCUGAACCAGCCAAGUAGCGUGAAGGAUGACUGCCCUACGGGUUUUAAACUUCUUUUAUAAAGGAAUAAAGUGAGGCACGUGUGCCUUUUUGUAUGUACUUUAUGACUAAGGAUCGGCUAACUCCGUGCCAGAAGCCGCGGUAAUACGGAGGAUCCGAGCGUUAUCCGGAUUUAUUGGGUUUAAAGGGAGCGUAGAUGGGUUGUUAAGUCAGUUGUGAAAGUUUGGGGCUCAACCGUAAAAUUGCAAUUGAUACUGGCAGCCUUGAGUACAGGUGAGGUAGGCGGAAUUCGUGGUGUAGCGGUGAAAUGCGUAGAUAUCACGAAGAACACCGAUUGCGAAGGCAGCCUACUAAACUGCCACUGACAUUGAUGCUCGAAAGUGUGGGUAUCAAACAGGAUUAGAUACCCCUGUAGUC